UGUUUAAGCAUGUAGGGAGGGUUGCCAGGUAAAUCCGGUGACCCAUUCAAUCCCGAGGUGUGAUGACGAGGUCCUACUGGACCGAAGUAACUGAUGCCACGCUUCCAGGAAAAGCCUCUAAGCUUCAGGUAACACUGGACCGUACCGAAAACCGACACUGGUGGGCGGGUAGGUAAUCUACCAAGGCGCUUGAGAGAACUCGGGUUAAGGAACUCUGCAAAUUGAUACCGUAACUUCGGAAGAAGGUAUGCCUUCGAUGGUGAAAGGACUUGCCCCUCUAGCUGUUGAAGGUCGCAGGUAAUCGGUGGCUGCGACUGUUUAUCAAAAACACAGGACUCUGCGAACACGUAAGUGGAAGUAUAGGGUCUGACGCCUGCCCGGUGCCGGAAGGUUAAUUGAUGGGGUCAGCCGCAAGGCGAAGCUCUUGAUCGAAGCCCCGGUAAACGGCGGCCGUAACAAUAACGGUCCUAAGGUAGCGAAAUUCCUUGUCGGGUAAGUUCCGACCUGCACGAAUGGCGUAACGCUGGCCACACUGUCUCGACCCGAGACUCAGUGAAGUUGAAAUCGCUGUGAAGAUGCGGCGUUCCCGCGGCAAGACGGAAAGACCCCGUGAACCUUUACUACAGCUUUACACUGAACUUUGAAUCUUCUUGUGUAGGAUAGGUGGGAGGCUAUGAAACUUGGGCGCUAGCUCAGGUGGAGCCAACCUUGAAAUACCACCCUGGAAUAUUCGGAGUUCUAACCUUGGCCCAUUAUCUGGGUUGGGGACAGUGUAUGGUGGGUAGUUUGACUGGGGCGGUCUCCUCCCAAAGAGUAACGGAGGAGUGCAAUGGUACGCUCAGCGCGGUCGGUCAUCGCGCUCUAGAGUGCAAAGGCAUAAGCGUGCUUAACUGCGAGACGGACAUGUCGAGCAGGUACGAAAGUAGGUCUUAGUGAUCCGGUGGUUCUGUAUGGAAGGGCCAUCGCUCAACGGAUAAAAGGUACUCCGGGGAUAACAGGCUUAUUCCUCCCAAGAGUCCACAUCGACGGAGGAGUUUGGCACCUCGAUGUCGGCUCAUCACGUCCUGGGGCUGUAGCAGGUCCCAAGGGUAUGGCUGUUCGCCAUUUAAAGUGGUACGCGAGCUGGGUUCAGAACGUCGUGAGACAGUUCGGUCCCUAUCUGCCGUGGGCGUUGGAAACUUGAGGGUGAGCUGUCCUUAGUACGAGAGGACCGGGAUGGACGUAUCUCUGGUGUUCCGGUUGUCACGCCAGUGGCACUGCCGGGUAGCUAUAUACGGACGGGAUAACCGCUGAAAGCAUCUAAGCGGGAAGCCCCCCCCAAGAUUAGGUUUCCCUGGGAACUCGAUUCCCCUGAAGGGCCGUCGCAGACUACGACGUUGAUAGGCUGGGUGUGUAAGCGCAGCAAUGCGUUCAGCUAACCAGUACUAAUUGCCCGUGAGGCUUGACC
Molecule: ribosomal RNA, 1447 nt
Filed under: metagenome
Description: bacterial LSU rRNA
Rfam family: Bacterial large subunit ribosomal RNA
Source: RNAcentral